UUACCUUCCACAUUUGCAGGAGAAAUCUGAUCCAAUGUAUACCAAGCCCCAAGACAAGCAGAUUGAGCUCAAUUAGGUUGGAUGUAAGCUUUGGUUCCUUCGAACAGUAUCAGUAAGUGUAGAUAAUUGGCUGGUGAUCCGCUUUAGCAUCUCUAGUACACUCUGCAGUCGUUAAAUCUAAGAAUUAUGCUAGAGAGUGGUUAGAUAAUACGUAAAAUUGAAGAAUUCAUUGUCCCCUUCUUGACUCGAUUAAAAAAAAUUAAAAACUUUUUAUAAGACUCAUAAAUAAACUCAUAUCAGUAAACCUCCCCCCACACUUAAAUAACAGUGUCACCAGUGUUUAUUCAGUCGAAGUUUGGUGAGAGCAUAAAUCAUAAGUACAAAAUUUAACAAGGAAAAACGAUAUACCAGCUCGCUGAUGUCAAUGUCAAUCGACACAGUGAAGUGCCUAUCGAUCGGUGCUGGUCCGGUACUGUCGAACGAUGUCGACCUGGUCUCACUGGUCGAUGGGCUCGACAAUCGUCUCCUUGGAUCUUUUUUUCCAAACUCAAAGUAAAACAUUAUACUAGUAGAACCUCCCCAUACUUAAACAACAAUGUCCCUGGUCUUAUAUAGUCUAAGCCUGGUGGGAAAAUAAACCAUAAGUACUAAAUUUAACAAGGUUUCGCGAGUAUACAUGCCGUUGAUGUGAGCAUCAAUCAACACAGAGUUAAGUGGUCAUCGAUACAUGUGAUGUUCCGUCGAUCGAUAUUGGUCAGUUGUCGGUCGAUGCAAGUGCAGAACUCAUGAACGUUGGAUCUUUUUUUCUGAUGAACAGUACCUCUGCUACAGUGUCGAUCGAUGCUGCUACAGUGGUAUCGCUCGGGGCAGCUACAGUAUCGUUGCUAGGAGCUCCUACAGUGUCGUCGCUAGGCGCUGCUACAGUGUCGUCGUCACUGUUCAUUUUUUUACCUGCAUAAAAUUUAAAAACGAAAAUCGGUAAAAAUUUAAACUAAGCUUUAAAAAAAUUAUCUAAUAGUGGGUUAUCUCUCACUCAGCGCUUAUUUUCAGUCAUUAGCUUGACUUCUGGAAAUCUGAAUCAGCCCGGAUGAGAGUGAGAACUUGCUCCAAACCAAGUCUUAAUGUCUUAUUUCUGAAGUUUCAUCAUACUUUUUGUGAGUGCUUCCAUAGACUCUUCUCCUUUGUUUAUCAUCUCAUCAAUAAGGAGUGCUCGAAACUUUGCAAAUUGAUGUAAGAAGCAUCUGAUGCGCACUCUAGAUUUCAUGACACCAACUGAGAAGUGAAGAAUCAAUGAUAACUGAGUAUCGCCCUUGAUCAUUUUUCUCUUGUUCUGAUUCAUCAUCUUCUUUCCCCCAAACUUGUCUGAUCGCGUGGUGGUGUCUCCAUCAAAAAUAUUUUGACACACUUCAAACUUUUUCUGCUCUGAUACGCGGCCGAUGGCGAUCGAUGGUAUCUGGUCAGUGUCGAUGGAUGCUGCUUUUGCUGGGCCUUUAUCGACUUCACCUCUACAUCUCAAAUCUCUCUAAGAAGCUACUGCAUACAUAUCAUCAGAAAAUACCCCAUUGUAGGAACCACAAACUUCACAUGGUCAUGCAUCCUUUUCACUCUUUUGUUAAUCCCAGUAGCUUCUUCUGUGCAUAUAGGUGAUCUCAGAUGUUCAUGGACAACAAGGUUUAAAGCCUCAUACUUGUGCAUUUUAUCCUCAGUGAAUUCCAUCUCAACUAUGAAACAUGGCGGUUCGUCCAGCAAUGGGCAUUGAUCGAUAUCAGGUGGGUGAUGUCGAUCGGUAUCAGGUUGGUGGUGUCGAUAGAUGUGGAGUUGGCGGUUUCGAUCGAUGCUAGCCUUUGGUGAAGUUUUCAAAUAUUUUCUUGAAGUGUGCUGAUUGUCAUCAAGCUUUAACUCCGAGUCCUGACACAAAUUCUCAGGUUGUGCUUCAUCCAAUCCCUUCAAGAAAACCUCUAGCUCGAAGAAAUCUUCCAUCGUGAUCUCUUUAUUAAUAUCCCAAUCUUUAAGCUUUUCUCCAUCCUCUAGUUCCAAAAAUUCUUAUAGCUCCAAGAAAUCUUCCAUGGUGAUCUCUUUGGCUACAUCCAAGGCAAGAUAACAACUAGCUUCACAUGAGUUUUCUAAUGUUGAGUCUACAAUGUCCUGAGGACAACUCUAACUAUCAGGGAUUUCAAUAGGUGUCAAUCGGCAACAAGAGUUUUUGUCGAUCGAUGCUAAGAUGGUGUGUCGUUCGUUUCUAAGGUCGUACCAUCGAUCGACGUUGAGGUCGUACCGUCGAUCGACGUUGAGGUCGUACCGUCGAUCGACGUUGAGGUCGUACCGUCGAUCGACGUUGAGGUCGUACCGUUGGUCGACUUUGUCGACGUUGAGGUCGUACCGCUUGUCGAUGUUGAGGUCGUAUCGUUUGCCGACGUUGUGGUCGUAUUGUUGAUCAAUGUUGAUGUCGUAUUGUUGAGGUCGAGUCUUGAGUACCAACUUCCUCUAUUCUGCUCGUUCUCCAGAUCCAUGAUAUCCAUCUCUUUUUGCCAUGUUGGAGUCGUCAAUCUUUUAUCUCAGCAUAGAUUCCAUAUCUAUCUCUAGAUUUGUUGCAGCAUCAUAGAGAAAGUUGUUGAGGAAGGCGUUUGCUAUGUCGUUCCAGACAGUGAGAGAUUCUGGUGGUAGCUUCUUGAAACAAUUAGUUGCAUCUACAGCAAGGGUGUAUGGAAGAGUUUGCAGAAGUGGUGGUCUUCAGGGACUUCAUUGAAGAUAAACGAUACCAAUUCCUCAAACAUGUUAAUAUGAUCCAUUGAUUGUUCAUGAGGAAAACCAUGAAAGGGACGCUGAUACAUAAGAGUAAUGUAGUUAGGUUUUUAGCUCAAAGUCAUCCUCUCAAUAACACUUGGUAUGAGUACCUCGACCAUCUGUGUCUCCCCGGAAGUGGUGUCGUUUUUCACCGGAUGAACAGUGUCUGGAUGAACAGUGUUGGGAUGAACAGGGCAACGAGGUACAGUGUCUUUGUGAACAGCAUCGAUCGAUGCAGGAUGAACAAUGUCGAUCUGCAAAGGAUGAAUAGUAUCGAUCGACGCGGGAUUAACAGUGUCGAGAUGAACAGUACAUCGAUGAACAAUGCUGGGACGAACAGUACCGAGUGAACAGUCUUGUCCGACCCAUGAUGAAUAAUGUCAUUCGAUACUUGGUUCACAUUGUCGAUGCUACUUAGAGGGUGUCGAUCGAUGUUUUCCUCGUCGACUUACGAGUCGUGUGUGAACCAGCAGGCUUCUUCUUUCAAUAAUCCAAAAAUCUUCUCCUCAUUAAUUCCUGGUACACCUUGAAACAGAAGAAAAAAAAUUAUGAGUUUUUCGAACAGAAGAAACUUUUGCUGGUUCAGAGACUUCGCUUUCUUCUUACGCUUACUGCUCCAGAUGAGUCGAGCUGGAAGGAAGGAGUUGAGCUGGCAACUGCCUUACGCUAACUGCUCCGGAUGAACUGAACAUCAUCAUCGUCUCCCCCACCAGAGAGGGUAGCUUUAGGAGCUGCCAUCGCUUCUUCUCCUAUGGUUCCCGACAUGCUACCUAAAGAGCAGUCCAAUCACAUAUCAAAAACUGUUUGGAAUAAGAAAGAAAGAGCCAGAAACUUACCCCAAUUACUGCAGCUUUCCAAGACUUCUUUGCUCACAAGGAAGGGAAUUUGACGACGCUCAACCGGAAUCCCCAAGACUUUUUCAAUCGUUUUCUUUCCCACAGUCAAACAAGAUACGUCUGCCAAAACAAAGAAAAAGCAUGCUCAGAAUCAUAUCAAAAGGAGUUUAAAAAACCACGACUCCUAAAACCUACCAGCUAAGUGCCAAAUAGAUGAGAACCCGGGGAGAGUCAUAAAAGCGAACUUCUUAGCCCAUCCAUUCUCAAAAACCGGGUGGUGCCUCCGAUCCUUCUUUGGGAUUUCAAAGAUAGGAGGAAGACGACAGCGAGGAUGAAGGUGGAAUCUGCCUUCUCCGCCAUGCAUUGGAGCAAUGAAGUAGGAAUAUAAAACUUCCUCGAUUCCUAAGACUAAACCCUCAAGCUCACUGAGAUUUUGAAGGGUUAUUAAAGAUCUCCAAAUCGGAGGAUUGAGCUGGCCUGGAGAGAUGUCAAACCAUUCAGAUAUCUUCGCUAUCAGCGACGGAACUCAAUCUCUGAAGCCCGAUUCGAGGAAACCCUCAUAUACAGGGACCUCGUCUAUUUCGAAGUCCAUAGCCCUAUUAAAAGGUCCGGGAACACAAAUGGAGAGGCAGUUAGGAAUUUUGGGGGGUGACUGGUUGGGCUGUAGGAAAUGACUUUAACUUUAAUUUUCAUCUACAACUUUAAAUACUACCAAUCAUGCUUUAUCUUAGUUUUUAAAGCUACAACCAAAAAACUAAAGCUACAGAAAAAACACACAAAAAAUAGUUAUAAAAAUUUUAUUUUCUAAAACUCCAUCUUUUUAACUGUAGAAAAUUUUAAAGGUACAUCCCUUAAAGCUAAAUCAAAAAAUUCUACAACCUAAAUUCUAAAGUUAAUUUUCUACAGUUAUACCCCAACCAAUCACCCCCUUUGUAUUUCUCUCUCCACCCCUCGCCUUCAUCUACUCCUAUCAUCGAGACAUGUCCAAUCGGUAAAGGCUCAUUCUCCUCCUCUACGACUGGUUGAGGGCUCCCCGUCUCUAUGGCCAUGAUAGGAUUUGAAAUCUCCACUUCCACCGUCAGAUCUAAGGAGAGGGAAGAAAAAUCUACGGAUCCAAGAGGCUCGCUUUCGCUUUUGUUUUUCGAUUUCACUCUACUACUUAUGGUGGACGGAUCUACAGAGGGGCUAGGUAUAUUCUUCAUCCUAAGACUCGAAGGACAGAACAAAGACUAAGAGGAGAAUUCGGAAGAACGUGGCUUAAAACCCUAGAAAAAACGAAGAAAGGAAGACGAUUACCUGCUUAAAAUAAAUGAACGGGUUCGAGAUUGGGAUGUGGCGAACUAGGAUCAGAAGAUCUUCGAGAAUUAAGGAAAGAAGUAAGAAGAUUUGGAGAGAUGAGAAGAGGAAGGGAAAGUGAAAACCCUAAAGAGAUUUCACGCGCCUCGGGUAAAUCAUCAUGCGAGGGAAUGAAUUCCAACGCAGUCUCUUUCCUUUGUCGGGUGAAGACUUCAUGGAAAAUGAAACGUCUCUUAAAAAUAGAAAACCCUGACUCCUUCUCCAGGCUCCUACAUUAGGCCCAAGGAUCCAAUCAUCCAAAUAGAAGACAUGCAAGGAAGUCCUUGCCAGCGGAUCUUCUAUUACAUCAAGAAGUGCGAUUAACGAUCCGAUCCUGACCAAGUCUCAUCAUCAAAAAGAACACAAGGUUUCGGGUUAUGAGCCCUGUGCAUUAAACAUGUCAUCCGAAGAAAUGCAAGAUCAAGGUCCAGAACCCUGCGAAGUCAUCUUCCAAUAGUUCCAACACCUUCUAGGACCCGGCCUACCUAGGGGAACCCGACUUUCUUCCAGGUUCCAAAACGGUCCAGGCCUAAAACGGAACCUGGAAAAAGAACUAUUGGAGCAAUGUCCUGCCUAAAGAAAGCCUACUGAGAUAGGGUAGCUCCGGCUACUCAAGUGUACAAGUUAUCCCCCGAAUUCAACGACGAACUCGAGGAAUAUGAGACAAACUAUUGGAGAAAAAUACUCCGGUAUGAUUAUUCUCCAGGCCUCGGGCAGGACGCUGGCCUCCAGGUUCCUG
Long non-coding RNA from Brassica rapa (field mustard), 5694 nucleotides. RefSeq lists it as uncharacterized. NCBI's taxonomy places the organism in Eukaryota, Viridiplantae, Streptophyta, Magnoliopsida, Brassicales, Brassicaceae. The record is from RefSeq and is a predicted model, not a curated record.